UCCAUCUCCUCGCUGUCUCGCCCGAUGGAGAGAGAGAGAGAGCUCGCCUCGUCCCUUCCAGAUCACCGCCACCACCUCCCUCCAGCGGAGCUCGUCGCCGUACAUGGCCUCCCCCAUGCCCUACCCCUCUCGCCCCUCCCCUUCCCCCACCCAACCAAACCAACCAGCCCACCCGGCACCCUUCCUCCUCCAAGAAAGCAAAGCCAUGCCCUCUGACGGGGGAUGAGAUCUGCGCCUGCGGGGAAUUUAUUGGCUCUCUCCACCGGCGAGGCUUGGGGAGGCCGGCGUUCCCUGUCGAGACCCGUCGCGCACGUCCUCCAGCGCCACCCGCAGCACGUCGAGUACACCACCACCCUGGAGCGCCUCGGCCUGGCCGACCUCUCGUCCCCGCACCCCCGGGCGCGUGCCGCCGCCAUGGGCAUCAUGCCCCUCCAAGUCCAAGCAGCGGGCGGCGCCGAGGAAACGAUGCAAUGGCUCUCCCCAACACCCCUCCCGUGGACUACCCCAGUUUCAAGCUCGUCCUCGUCCGCGACGGCGACACCGGCAAGACGAUGUUCAUGUAGAGGCAUAUCACCGGGGAGUUCGAGAAGAAGUACGAACCGACGAUCGGUGUGGAGGUGCGGUCGCUGGACUUCCAGAUGAGCCACGGCAAGAUCAGGUUCUACUGCUGGGACACAGCCGGACAGGAGAAGUUCGGUGGCCUCCGUGACGGAUACUAGUGAUCAUUGGUGCUGUUGCUGCCGCUGUGCAAGUCGGAGGUGUCGCUGCUACAUUUGGUGGAGCUAGUGCUGCCGCUCCAAAGGACUUUACCCCUUGCUAGAUCCUUCGGUGGAGGUGACCCAUGUGAUGGUGAUUCGCUCCAGCAGUUCCGGUUCCGGCAAUGGUGGUGCUACACUGCUACUGCUCCUAUGAUGGCUACGCAUUGGUAGGCUCGGCUGCCUCCCUUGGCUGUCGCUGGAUCAGCCUAGUCUACAACCACUUCCGAUGACUCAGGUCCCCUUCUACCUCUCCUACUCUCUCCAUGAUUCUUUUCUUUGCCUUUAUGAGGUGUAAUUGUUUAAUUUUUGUCAUAGUUGAGCAUUGGAUGAUAUAUUGUAUCUGUCAUGAGGUACAUGGUUCAUGGAUAUGCCAACCUGCAGCUUGUUGUCCAUACAUAUUCCCGCAUGUUAGUGUCUCCCCGUGUAAGUACGAAUUCUGGUGAUGCCUUCAUCUAUGAUGAUGCUCUGCCUUUCGCAUUCAUUCAUUCUCUGAUAGUUCUAGGAGUCCUCAUAUUUAUUUGAAAAUCUGUGCAAAUGUACAUCAUUCUAGAGAAGCAUCCCCAUACCAGCACAUGUAUUUGAAAAAUCUAUUCAAAUCUCCUCACUUCAUAUGUUGCUAAGAGAUGAUGUAACUCCAAAGUAGACAAUUAAAACAUAUUAGUAAAAUCAGUAUGCAUCCCUAGUGAUGCUUUAUCUUGUUUUUUUAGUCCAUGAGUGAUGUGUUGGAGCAUCACUGACUACUAUGGUUUUUUUCCAAGGUCUAUACAAGUGUCAUCUUUGUCUGGCAAUAUCUGCCUCCUGUGUCGUGUCAUGUAUCUAUUUCACUUUAGAUGUUUUAAGUGAAUGAUGUAUUACUUGCGAGUGUCGAUGUACUGAUGCAAACAGUGCUUGUGUACUUGUGACUAAUCGGUUUUCCCUCUCAUUUAUAGGAGUUCCUCGGCCAAAGAAAUUCGAAGAAGCUCAAAGCCCCAGUCAAAGGCUCGCUUUAUAUAUUAUUGAACUUGUAAUGCAGAAUUUGCUUGGAAUUUUGACGUAAUGCUGAUCUUGCUAGGAAUUGGGUGUAUAUUUACUUGUUGUACUUGUUAUUUAAUGUUCGGUGUACUUGUUAUUCAAAUGCUGGGAAUUUGUAUUUGUGCUAAAUGUAUUUAGUUGGAUGUGAACAUAAUACUGAAAGAGUCCUUGGCCCAAA
Triticum aestivum (bread wheat) is the source of this 1947-nucleotide long non-coding RNA. RefSeq lists it as uncharacterized. The transcript has 5 exons. NCBI's taxonomy places the organism in Eukaryota, Viridiplantae, Streptophyta, Magnoliopsida, Poales, Poaceae. The record is from RefSeq and is a predicted model, not a curated record.